Molecule: ribosomal RNA, 497 nt
Filed under: uncultured bacterium
Lineage: Bacteria
Description: partial 16S ribosomal RNA
Rfam family: Bacterial small subunit ribosomal RNA
Source: RNAcentral
GACGAACGCUGGCGGCGUGCCUAAUACAUGCAAGUAGAACGCUGAAGAGAGGAGCUUGCUCUUCUUGGAUGAGUUGCGAACGGGUGAGUAACGCGUAGGUAACCUGCCUUGUAGCGGGGGAUAACUAUUGGAAACGAUAGCUAAUACCGCAUAACAAUGGAUGACACAUGUCAUUUAUUUGAAAGGGGCAAUUGCUCCACUACAAUAUGGACCUGCGUUGUAUUAGCUAGUAGGUGAGGUAAUGGCUCACCUAGGCGACGAUACAUAGCCGACCUGGGAGGGGGAUGGGCCACACUGGGACGGGGACACGGCCCAGACUCAUACGGGAGGCAGCAGGAGGGAAUAUUCGGCAAUGGGGGCAACCCUGACCGAGCAAAGCCGCGUGAGUGAAGAAUGUUGUCGGAUCGUAAAGCGCUGUUGUAAGUCAAGAACGGGUGUGAGAGUGGAAAGUUCACACUGUGACGGUAGCUGACCAGAAAGGGACGGCUAACUACGUG